AACGAACGCUGGCGGCAGGCCUAACACAUGCAAGUCGAGCGAGGACUUCGGUCCUAGCGGCGGACGGGUGAGUAACGCGUGGGAACGUGCCCUUUGGUACGGAAUAGCCCCGGGAAACUGGGAGUAAUACCGUAUGGUGUCUUCGGACUAAAGAUUUAUCGCCAAAGGAUCGGCCCGCGUUGGAUUAGGUAGUUGGUGGGGUAAUGGCCUACCAAGCCGACGAUCCAUAGCUGGUUUGAGAGGAUGAUCAGCCACACUGGGACUGAGACACGGCCCAGACUCCUACGGGAGGCAGCAGUGGGGAAUCUUAGACGAUGGGGGCAACCCUGAUCUAGCCAUGCCGCGUGAGUGAUGAAGGCCCUAGGGUUGUAAAGCUCUUUCAGCUGGGAAGAUAAUGACGGUACCAGCAGAAGAAGCCCCGGCUAACUCCGUG
RNAcentral lists this ribosomal RNA (433 nucleotides) under uncultured bacterium. Its description in RNAcentral is "bacterial SSU rRNA". It matches the Rfam family "Bacterial small subunit ribosomal RNA", at positions 29 to 507 of the family's 1533-position model. The record is from RNAcentral.